GGGGUUUUGUUCUUUUGCCCUUUGCAGUAAAUCUUGCUGCUACUAACUCUUUGGGUCCACGCUGCCUUUGUGAGCUUUAACACUCACCACGAAGGUCUGCAGCUUCACUCCUGAAGCCAGCGAGACCACGAACCCACACUGAAGGAAGGAAACUCGGAACACAUCCGAACAUCAGAAGGAACAAACUCGACACGUUGCCUUUAAGAACUGUGACACUCACCGCGAGGGUCGGCGUCUCCAUUCUUGAAGUCAGUGAGACCAAGAACCCACCAACCAAUUCCGGACACAAUCUCAGCACUGUGGGAGACUGAGGUCUUUCCUGAGCACACAGAAGAUCAAGACCACACUCACUGACUUCUCAUAGUCAAGCAAUUUUGGCCAAUUAAAUGUCAGUUGGAAACUCCUGUGUCAGCUUCUCUGUGGCGGUGAGAAGUCCCUGUGUGACAUCCCAACUCUCCCCUCACCUGCGUUGGCAACCAAGAAAGCCUUGUGUUGGAGGUGGGGCCACAAGUUUAAAGCUAAGUUACCACCUCGAGGGCACAUUCCUGGAGAGCUUCCCAGGCCCACAGUGGCACGUGUAUGAGUGACAGAUCCACUUCUUUAUUACCUUUUUGAAGAACAGGAACCUUUGUCUGGAAAUUCCACAAGUAUGCCUUUUGCAAGAUUAAAAGUGCCACAAAGAACAAAAAUGAGCCCAGGACCAGAUGCAUGUUAAAAGCCAUCAGACACGUUAAGUUUCAUCUCCAUUGACCUGCAGAAGGAGUCUCUCACCACAGCCACCACAUCUAUGCAUGUGCUGAGUCACAUGUGAAGCCAGCACAUCUCAGAGUCUCACCGAAAGCUCAUGGUGGUAAUGAAGUGGCAGCAGGCAUUUGAGGGGGGAUCUGGCUAAGAGAAGAUGAGUUGUGGAUGCAUUUCGGUAGGUUUUGUUUCAGUGGUUCACAGUCGCUUCUGUGGAAAUGAUGUCCAAGAAGACUUCUUUCUGCUGACCUGGCUAGUGUUCUGACUUGAUGUUGUGGGGCCAGAAGUUGUGUUGCAGUAUGCACACGUCCUUUGAUGCCUGGCACAGAAAAUUGUGAGACAAAGAGACUAGAAGGGGUAGAGUCAGCUAACUUCUCUCCUCCCACCACUGAUGAGGUUUUGGUGAAUUCUCUUCCCUUGCUCAGGACUAUUUGGUUUCUAUUCUACUUCUGGCCUUUCAUAUUCCUGAUGGUGCAUUGGAUGAAACCCCGCAGCCAGGCGUGUGAACGUGGUUGAAAAGACCCAUGGAGGACCAGCAACGCUUCCCCACAGCGUGGGAUGGUCCCCUCCUGAGAUGGCCCACUGUCAGCGGGACUGACGCCAAGCACUGCAUCCUGUCUGCUUCUUGAACAGCCCCUUCAUUGUUUGUUCAGCUAUUCUGCUGCAUCUGCAGAUAGCCCUGCCUGAGAAACAGCCUCAAACCAGAAGGAGAGGAUGGCGGCAAGCCUUAGAGAAACAUCAAAAUUUGCUAUUAAGAAAAUAGUGAAGAAGUCUCAUCAGAGAGAAGUUAAAAGCAUACUAGUGGAUUCCUUGGGGCUGCAGAAAGAGUAGCAAAAAGUUGGAGAAAACAUCAACUACACCAAAGGAAUUUUAGGAGCUUGGUCCCCAGCAAAGCUCAUGGAAUCUCUCUCUGCAAGGAAGAGUCAGUUUUAAAAGCCCUCAGCCUGCUCUCAAUGGGUCCUGCCUCCUUCCCUGCCUGCACCCCAACACUGGGGAAAGGAGAAACCUCCGUUAGCAAGUUGGAGAAAAGGAGUUGAGGAAGGAAGAGGAUAGCCCGGCCCCCUCCCUGACUGCAGGUUUUUCUUUUUCUUUUUAACAGUGGAUUCUAGCGAGGGGAGGGCAAAUCCCUGAAACCUUGAAUGAAGUUGGAAGCCUUUACUAGUUUGUGUGUUUGGAAUUCUAAGUAGAAAUUGAGACUGUGUUUUGUGACUCAAAUGACUAAGAUUUUCUGUUACCUACGAGUGGCCAAAAUGUCAAGUAUUCAUCCGGGGGCAGGGUGAAAACUAGACCUACUGAGAAAGUUAAAAGACAAGGGGAAAACACAAUAAACCUGCUGUAUUUUUACCUCCAAAGUGUCCAUUCAAUUUACUGGCUGUAGUAGUUUGAAAGCAAGGUUCUGUGAUAUCAUUCCAGAGUUGAGAGUAACAAAAGCUGAUAAUUGUAAAUGCAGCACUAUCCAAUGGAAAUAUAAUGCAAAUUAUAUGCGUGACUUAACAUUUUUU
RNAcentral lists this long non-coding RNA (2243 nucleotides) under Homo sapiens (human). RNAcentral's name for it is "HSALNT0151161". The record is from RNAcentral. Lineage: Eukaryota; Metazoa; Chordata; Mammalia; Primates; Hominidae.